RNAcentral lists this ribosomal RNA (235 nucleotides) under Anaplasma phagocytophilum. RNAcentral describes it as "partial 16S ribosomal RNA". It matches the Rfam family "Bacterial small subunit ribosomal RNA", at positions 202 to 439 of the family's 1533-position model. Lineage: Bacteria; Pseudomonadati; Pseudomonadota; Alphaproteobacteria; Rickettsiales; Anaplasmataceae. The record is from RNAcentral.
GAAGCGGAUUUCGCUAUUAGAUGAGCCUAUGUUAGAUUAGCUAGUUGGUAGGGUAAAGGCCUACCAAGGCGAUGAUCUAUAGCUGGUCUGAGAGGAUGAUCAGCCACACUGGAACUGAGAUACGGUCCAGACUCCUACGGGAGGCAGCAGUGGGGAAUAUUGGACAAUGGGCGCAAGCCUGAUCCAGCUAUGCCGCGUGAGUGAGGAAGGCCCUAGGGUUGUAAAACUCUUUCAG